AACGAACAGCAGAAGUCUUAGAGGCAACUUGUGAAUGAAGGAGGCCUCUCUAUUUCCAUCCAGUACAUUCUCUGCACUGGUUGAAGAAGGGUUCCCAAACAACAACAUGUAUGAGUACCUAAUUAAUAAGCAUAUCAGAAUGCAACUGCAUAAAGGCAGAAAGGUGAAAAUCAGUGCAUAACAGUCUUAACUACUAUAUUUCCUAAAUAUCCAUUAGGUUGACUUCACAGUGUUAAUAUUCUGUUACAGAAGCUUUCAGGAGGUAGGAUGCAAACUGAAAAAAACAGCUGAUCUAUCCAACUGUACCUCAGCAGCACUAGGGCAUCAAGAACUACAGCAUAAUUCCUUGAACCAUGUAAUUGGGGAGUGACUGGUGACCCUUUUUCUGUAUGCUUGUGUUGUCUCACUGGAGCAGGUACAGAGGUCUGCUGUGGGAGGGGAGUUCAGAAAUAUGUGCAAAGUAAAGGAGCUGAGUAAACCCCAGAGCCCCAUAUUUCAUGCCAGAAUUGGCAGCUGAGCUGUAGGUGUAAGGUUUGUUGUCAGGGUAUUGCAUGGGCUGCAGGGCGCCACAGCCAGGGCCCAACCCACUGCCCCAGCCAGGAGCCAGGCAGCUGAGGGCACUGGGGAAACUCUAGGCCCAGGCAUCGGGCCUCCCUCUGGGAACAGGGCCGGAACGGGGCCAGACCAAGGCCAGGCUGGGACAUGGGCCUGUGGGGCUGUGUAGAGCUGGAGACCGGCCUUGCCAUGGUGUCACAGGGGACCCUGUAAGCAAUGUCAGAGGAAAACCCUGUUGGACUUGGGAGACCAAGAGCACUGAUGAUGCAUACUCAUUAGCUGUUGACACCUGACUUGAGUCUCUAAGGCUCACUUUGCUGAAGUGGUAAGUGCUCACAACUGCUCCUGAAGAUGAAGGGAGCUCCUCUUUGGAGGUACAAGCUGCAAUGAAUGUUUCUUUCCUUAGGAAACAUGGAAAACUUCAGCUGGAUUAUUCUUAUAUGCAGCAGCUGUCCAUACAUUUUUCUUAAAAUCAAAUAUGUGAGAACCAAAAUAUUUUAGUUUAGAUAGUCAGACACAAUAUCUUAAUGGAUCUGUAUUUAGUGUUUUUUUUUUCUUAAUGUGUCUUCAUGGGCUGAAAUCGGCAGACGGGCUAUGUGUUCUUCAACACUGUAA
This is a long non-coding RNA of Cygnus olor (mute swan), 1170 nucleotides long. RefSeq lists it as uncharacterized. Lineage: Eukaryota; Metazoa; Chordata; Aves; Anseriformes; Anatidae. The transcript has 3 exons. The record is from RefSeq and is a predicted model, not a curated record.